UAAUAAAUAUUAUAAUGAUAGCUAUAAGAAUCAAUUAUUUAUAAUAAUAAGUUAAUGAUUUAUUAGGAUGGUGUCACUCAAACAGAAACCUGAUCAAAGUAGUGACACCAAUUUUUAAAUAUAAGUAAUAAUAAGAACAAACACAUACAUUACAACACAUAAAAUGUAAACACAUAGAUUGACGCACAUAGAACAUAUAUUAAAAAUAAACAUCCAAUAAUCAAUAAUUGUAGGUUAUAAUAAUAAAAAAAAAAAAUAAACAACUAAAAAAGUACUUAUGAUAAUUGUAGUAAUAACGAAAAGAAAUAUAAGAUAAUAUUUUAUUAAAAAUAAGAUAAUAUAAAAUAUAGUAUCAUAAUGCCUAAAAGUUAGAAUAAAAUAUUUUUCAAAAUUUUUUUAAAUUGAUUUUUUUUAAUAUUAAGAAAAGGUAUUUUGAGAUGUAGUUUUUUAAACUCAUUCAAAACGCAUACAAGGCUCCUGUUCCAUUCACAGACGCACUGAUAUAUUAUAGAAUACUUACCAUAUUUCUUUUUAUAAGAUUUUAUAAGAUGGUACAUUUAGUUUUCCAUUGUAUAUAUUUCUAGUAGAGUAGGAAUGCACUAGUCUACUUUCUGUGAACAAAUUUGUAAUGGAAGAUGGUAAACUUUUAUUUAUGAAGUCAAAAACAAAAAGAAGAUUAGCAUACUUUACUAAAGCUGGAAAUGUUAGAAUGUUAAUUUUUUUCAAGGAUUCCGAUGUAUCUGAUUUAAAUGGCUGGAAGUUUAUUAUUCUAAUAGAUUGACGCUGAGACGAUAGCAACUUGUUAAUGCGAUAAUUUCCGAUUUGACACCAAACCUGACGACUAUAACUAAGAUGAGAUGAGAAUAAUGCAUAGUAAGUAUUCUUAAGUGUAACUUUAUCAACAUAAUGACGAAUUAUUGAUAGCAUACCGUUAGCUCGAGAUAAUUUCUUGCAUAGCUCAUCAAUGUGAAAACCCCAUGAAAGAUUACAGUCAAUUAACACACCAAGAUAUUUAGUAACUUCCGAAGUAUAUAGCCGUUUAUUAUUAAUUUUGAUUUUAACUUCAACAUUUUUAUAGAUUUAAAAAAAAAUUAGUUCUGUUUUUUUGGUGUUAAGACAUUUAACCAGUGAACUAUACCUUUUAGAUCCGAAUUUACAUUUUUACAUAAAGAUUGAUGCGAUUUGUUAAUAUGCAAGAGGUUCGUAUCAUCAGCAAACAGAUGAACUGACGAGAAGUGAACAGAGUUGAUUAGGUCGUUAACGUAGAUUAAAAACAAAGAGGACCAAGAACAGAACCUUGAGGUACACCACACAAAACAGAUUUAUUACUAGAAUUAAAACCAUUAAUACUUACAAACUGUUUUCGAUUUAAAAGAUAAGAUCGAAACAAGUCAUUUACAAUACCGCGAAUUCCAUAAUGUCCUAAUUUAGAUAUCAAAAUACUAUGGUCAAAGGUAUCGAAUACUUUUUGCAAAUCAAUAAAAACACCACAAACGAAAUGACCAGUAUCAAGAGCUUUUCUAAUUUUUUUUGUAAUACUUAUUAAUGCGUGGCAAGUAGAAUGUUUUGAUCAAAAACCGAAUUGAAAAUCAUAUAAACAAUUAAAUGAGUUUAGAAAAGAAUACACUAUAGAAUACAUAAGUUUUUCAAGAAGUUUACUAAUAUUAGAUAAAAGAGAAAUAGGUCUAUAGUUAGAGCAUAGAAGUUUAGAGCCAUUUUUAAAUAUUGGAAUAACGCAAGAAUGAAAAACGCAAAAAUAACAUGAAUUGUUGCACACUGUCCAUAAUGUUGUAGUUUACACUCGAAGCAUGGAAAACAACUUUGAAGGUUUGUGUUUUUCAAGUUACAUUAUUCAUAGGGUAAAAGAGUUUAUGCUGUCAUGAAAAAAUAUUAUAAAUAGUCAAUAAUUAAUUACAUUAUUAUAAUAAUAUAAUCAGGGAGCAGUAUUUUUAGUUUAUAAAAUAUAUAUUUAAUUAUUAUCAUCAAUGUUGUGUUAUUAUUAAAUGUUUGGUUGAAAGUUUUUGUUUGAAAUAUUGAUGCGUAUUUGAUGUUCAGAGCAUAUUUUAUGAUUUUUCACCUAAUAAAAUAAUAUUUUUGCCCCAUUUAUGAUUUUUAUUGAUAAUAUUUGCUAAUAUAUGUCUUUAUCAAUUAUUUAGAGAAAGAAAUUUAGAAAACUUGAGAAUUAUAUGUUAAUAUCUUUAUUAAAUGUUUUUUCAAAGAUGUAAUGAAGAAAAAUCACAAGAUUUUUUUUGAGACAAAAAAUAGUCCAUACACAGGAGUUCCUUUCCUUAUAUCAUCGUGCAGUGUUCUUGACUGUCAACAUGGAGUAGACAAAGGCUGCACAGCAAAACUCAAUACAGAAACAGAAAAAACAGUGAAGCUGUAUGUGUUACCUGAUUUUAAUUCAAAUUAUUGUUUUACGUAAUUCUAGUUAUCAUUCAGAGCUUAAAUUUUCCCAUUGAAAAAAGUCCCUAUUUUGCUUUUCACAAAUAUAUUCAAAAAAAAAUUUGAUUGUCCCGCUGCAAUUUCAAUCAAAGAAAUAGUUGAAUUUCCUGAAUUUAAGAUUGAAAAAGAUUCAGCAUGGUUGAGAAGUGUGGCAUCAUAGAAACUUCGUAAAGCUCUGGCCCCUCAAAAUGAUAUUGUAAUGUGUAGAAAAUAUAUUUUAAUACUACAGGACAUUUCUGUUCAUAGAAAUCAUCCAGUUGGUAAUGUAAGUACCACAAUGUUUACAUUGUGAUUACAAUGUGUUUACAAUGAUUACACUGCGUUUUUGUUUUCUUUCUUUAUGACUUAUCAUUAAUGAAAUUGCUGAACUUGUAAAAAAAGGUUAAUUCAGUUCCAGAUAUGAGGCGUCAUCUGGAUGCCUUUGUUCAGAUGAAAUUUGUUUCAAAUAACAUUCUAAAAACAAACAAACGUUUUUAUCCACUGGAUGAAACGAUCGCAAAUCAUAUGGAGAAGGCUAGAAAAAACUUUCAAAGAUCUUUGAUAGAUCAAGAAUGUUUGUUAGGUAAGAUAGAUGAAUGGAAAGUAUACUUUUUAGAAGUAUGUAUAUAUUUUCGACCUAAAGUGGAAAAAUCUGAGUUAUCCUGCUCUCAAAGAUUCUUUGUUAUUUGUGUAUCAAGAUGUAUGGCAAAAGAGACUGCUAUUAAAAUAUGGAAAUGAGCUUACCUUUCUGGAUGCUACAUAUCGCACAACUAGAUAUGCUCUGCUUCUCUGUUGAAUACCAAGUCGUUGCCAUUUUUUUGUGUAAAAAUGAAACAACAGAAGCUCUAAUUUGUAUUAAAAAAUGGAAUCCUUUAUUCCGGCCUUAGUGUUUUUUGACUAAUUAUUGUAAUGAAGAAUUUAAUUUUUUUGAACCUGUUUUCCCAGGUAAAGUCAUUUUCCAUAAAUAUUUAUGCUCUUUUCUAUUACUUAUAUGUAAUAUAAUUUAUAUUUUAUUAAUUUCCAGCAUUAAAAGUACUACUUACUGCUUUAGAAACAGCCCUUUUUUAAAUUUAAACAUCCAGGUUAAUUCUUGUAAACACUUUAAAAAAUAAACUUGUUGAGAUUAUAUGGUAUUUCAAGUAAAUGCUGUUUUUGCUUUGAGGUUUUAUAUUGAUGUUUUAGUUAUCUUUUUUUAAACACUUUUUUUUUCCAUCUAAGGCUCAAUUGGAUGAGUGUAUUUAAAUGUAAAAGAAAUUAUAAAUGUUCUUUCAUUUUUUUAUAUCUUUUUUUAUAUUUUUUUUUUGCAUGUUGUGUGAUUAUUUGUGAUUUUCACCAAGAGCAGGUUUGGGAGAGAUGGUUGUCAAAAAUAGCCAAUGGAUGUUGCCAAAACUGAACCCAAAACAACUUAAAAUUGAGAGAAUAUCUUAAAAACACUUGGUUGUGUAUCCUAAAGUUUAGUAACAGUAGUAUUCAUCAGAUUGUUAACAUCCAUAGUAUGCCUAAUGUAUCCAAAUAGGAGAUGGGUGCUUGCUUACAGACGAGAUUAACUGCUGAUAAAUGUCAACACUAACAAUGGCACUGAACCGCAAAACCAAACGUUUGAGUACAGUUUUUUGGAGAAAAGGAAAAGUUCUUCACUUACAUCAAUGCUUAGCAUUUGUAUAGAAGAACUUCUUCUGCAUAAAUAUGACAACUAUGCCGAUGAAAAUAGAAGGGCACAUACAUAGUAUAGAAAAUACAAUGUUAACAUUCCGGCUUAUUUAAUUAAUCGACCACCACCUCUUGUAAAACAUUGUAUGAGAAUGAUCGAUAUAUGUCCAAGUGUAGGGUUGGUUGGAAUUAGUUCUGUAACAGCAGGAUUGUAUAAUGUAGCUUCGUUUCAAUCUAAUAAUCGACACAUUUACCAAUGUUAUUUUGGUGAUGCUGAACAACUACCAACUUCUUCUUGUCCAGCUUGGUUUGAAAGUGCAUAUCCAUGCAAGCAUUUUUUUGUCAUUUUUAUUAAAGAAAAUCUCUCCUGGUCAUCUUUUGGUUCCUCUUAUCGAAUUUCCCCAUAUUUUAUUUUUGAUCCAUUGUCGGAUGAAUAUUAUUCUUCAAAUUUGGCUUCCUCUCUAGAUUUAGUGUAUUCCAACAAUAAUUUGUCUCAAAAUAAUCAUUUUAACAGUGCUAAAUCGUUUUGUGUUGGAUCUUCACGGGAUGAAUAUGAUCAGACAAAUGCUGAGUUUUGUGGAUAAUACAAAUUGUCUUGGUUACAAUAACCUAAAUAGUCAAGCACUGUCUAUUCAGCACACACCUGCAGCGUGUCGUGAAGUCUUGAAUGAACUAAUAAAAAUAACUUAUUUAGGCAGUUCUCAAACAGCAACAACUAAUUUGUUCGAAGGGCUUUGUAAACUUUAAAAUAGUUUUGAGGAAACUUAAUUGAGAGAACAAGGUAUUCUUCUGCGUCAAGAAUGUAAACCAGGUAUUUGGAGCAAGUCUCUUAUAAAUUCACCAAAACUUUGUCAGCUGCCAGUUCGACGCAAAAGGAAAAUGGCGAAACGAGUUGGUAUUAAAUAUGGCAUGGCUAAAAGAGCUUCAAACAUAAAUUUUGUAGUAAAAGUAAAAGAUGAAGUUUCUUUUUCUGAGGUUGUUACAAACCACGUGAUUGAUGAAAAUUGUGAAAUGUUUACAGUGCCCAAUGCAACAAUCGAAUAUGAAAAAAAAAAUCAGGUGAUUGCCAGAAGGUUUUUGAAUCUACUGAUGUUAGUGAAGAUGUCUAAUUGCAAAGCACUGUUCAACGUAUUUAGUUUCUGAAGUCCUCUUUAAUUAGAAAUUCAGAACAAAAUCAUACUGAAAACGGACAAAUGCUUAAUGAAAAUGUAAUUCACUUGUGUCAACAAAUGAUGUCAAUUGGAUUAAAAAUUAAUGAAGGUCUACAGGAUCCAGUUAAAGGAAAAGUAUUAUCUUUUAAUGUUCAUUCAAGUACUCCAUUCGUCCAAAUCCUUUAUGAUGGCAAUGCUAUACUUGUGCAGAAUGGUUUCACCGUGAAUGUGAAAGAAUUCCACAGAGUGUUAUGAAAUAGAAGAACUUUGGAAUUGUCACAAAUGCAACAGUAAACUAGGUUUUUAAGGCUUAGUAAAUAUAGAAAGAUAGCUUCAGGUAUUACAUUUUUUUAAAUAUAUUUAUCAAGUAUUUUAAAGGACUUCUGUGCAGACAAAGUUGUUACUGGUAAAAUUUUGAUUUUCUAUAAAUAUAUAUCUAUAACUUUAUUAAAUAAAGAACAAAUUUAAUGAAUGUUAUCUUUUUAUUUUCAUAUGUCAUCUCAGAUUCGAAAUUCAAAAACAAAUUAUGUAAUAAAACAAAAAAUAUUACUUAAUAACAAUUCUUGGAUCACGGCUUUAUUUUAUAGUGCUUAUGCCUUGUUAUUAAUUGGUAUAGAUGUUUAUACCUUUCUGAUGAUAGUAUAUAUGUUUGUUUAUUGGAAUUUUAUUAUAUAAAUAUUUGUGACACUGAUAUAAACUGCCCCAUUUGUUUGGUUUGUGUCAUAGUGUUGUAAAAAUUGUGUUGACAUAAAUAGCUUAUACUGUGGUGAUAAUGGCAUCUUAAAAACUAUAUAUAUAGCCUUUGUGUAGUAUGAGCCUUAGCGGUUAUAUAAUUCAAAUGUAUAUAUAAUGCUGACGCCUAAUAUUUCAUGAAUAUAUGUAUGUAUGUAAACAUUUUAAUUCGUCUUGGUAACACAUGCAUUAGAUCUAUAUAGGUAUAAGGUAUACCUAAAAAUAGAGCGAUCAGAUGCUCUCAAUAUUAAAAUUUAAUGAGUGAACCAUUUAAAUUGCUUCAAAUGGUGUUGAUAUUACAUAGCAUUUUGUUGAGAAAUCAUUGUUAAUUUUUUUUAGGGAGGUGAGCAGUUGCUGGCUACUUUCACGUUAGUGCUCACUGUUAAAAACGGUAUCAAUACCGAAUUUCAAAUCAUGAAAUUUGCCUUUUAAAUCAUGAACUAAAUGCCAAGACGAGUCAAUAAAUAAACUUGAUGGCGGCUGUUAUAACUGAUUUUGGAAAGUGUCUUCAACGUUAAUUGUUUUUUAAAAAAAAUGUGUUUUAUAUAUGUAUUUGUUUUAAAAUAUUUUUGUUCCAUAUUUAACUUUAUAUCAUGUAAAUAAAUUUGUUUUUAAGAUAUGUAAACUCAAGACUUGCUUUUUUACGGAUUUUCAGAAAAGUAAACACAGGUUUAAA
Long non-coding RNA from Hydra vulgaris (swiftwater hydra), 6633 nucleotides. RefSeq lists it as uncharacterized. The record is from RefSeq and is a predicted model, not a curated record. Lineage: Eukaryota; Metazoa; Cnidaria; Hydrozoa; Anthoathecata; Hydridae.